GAACGGGUCUGCUAGGUUGUUCUUUGUGUCUACUCGUUCAAUCACUAUGUCUUGUCUCUCGACGAUCUCUCGAACGAGGUGGAAGCGUCUUAGAAUGUACUUGGAUUUGUGAUGAGACCUUGGUUCCUGAUGCGUCACAGAAAUGCUCUCCCAAGUGCAGGAGAAUCGCACAAGUAGUAAAAUCUCGGGAGUCCGAGGUCGAAUCCUCAGGGAACGAAAUAUAUAUUAGAUUAUUUAAUAUAAUUUUAGGUUAAUUAAUUCAAUAAAUUUGUGGAUAAAGAUGAUGUUUUGCAAAUAGAAAAUAAAUCAGUAAACAGAGAAUUGAAAUUUGGAUAGAUUAAGAUAGUGUAGGGAUCUGGGAUCCCCUUUGAUGAUAUUAUUUUCAACAAUUAAAUUCUGCGAUUCUUGAUUAAGGAUCAAUCAGAUAGAAUAGUUCUAAUCAUGGAGUAUACAAUUUGAAAACAUGAAUUCAAGAUCUAAGCAUUUAUCGUGCCGAUUACGUCUACGACAAAUCAAACAUCGAAACAAUCCAUGAAUCAAGAAAUAUAAA
Molecule: long non-coding RNA, 550 nt
Filed under: Phoenix dactylifera (date palm)
Lineage: Eukaryota; Viridiplantae; Streptophyta; Magnoliopsida; Arecales; Arecaceae
Description: long non-coding RNA (PDAC_LNC015264)
Source: RNAcentral